RNAcentral lists this ribosomal RNA (447 nucleotides) under uncultured bacterium. Its description in RNAcentral is "bacterial SSU rRNA". It matches the Rfam family "Bacterial small subunit ribosomal RNA", at positions 355 to 825 of the family's 1533-position model. The record is from RNAcentral.
UCGGGAAUUUUGGGCAAUGGGCGAAAGCCUGACCCAGCAACGCCGCGUGAAGGAUGAAGUAUUUCGGUAUGUAAACUUCGUAAGAAUAGGAAGAAUAAAUGACGGUACUAUUUGUAAGGUCCGGCUAACUACGUGCCAGCAGCCGCGGUAAUACGUAGGGACCAAGCGUUGUUCGGAUUUACUGGGCGUAAAGGGCGCGUAGGCGGUUUGUCAAGUCAGUUGUGAAAUCUCCGAGCUUAACUCGGAACGGUCAACUGAUACUGUCAAACUAGAGUACAGAAGGGGCAAUCGGAAUUCUUGGUGUAGCGGUGAAAUGCGUAGAUAUCAAGAGGAACACCUGAGGCGAAGGCGGGUUGCUGGGCUGAUACUGACGCUGAAGCGCGAAAGCUAGGGUAGCAAACGGGAUUAGAUACCCUCGUAGUCCCUGAGCGGGCUGGCAAGGCGCAU